RNAcentral lists this ribosomal RNA (499 nucleotides) under uncultured bacterium. Its description in RNAcentral is "partial 16S ribosomal RNA". It matches the Rfam family "Bacterial small subunit ribosomal RNA", at positions 30 to 523 of the family's 1533-position model. The record is from RNAcentral.
AUUGAACGCUGGCGGCAUGCUUUACACAUGCAAGUCGAACGGUAACAGGGAGCUUGCACCGCUGACGAGUGGCGAACGGGUGAGUAAUGCGUCGGAACGUGCCGAGUAGUGGGGGAUAACGCAGCGAAAGUUGUGCUAAUACCGCAUACGUAUUGAGGUAGAAAGUGGGGGACCUUCGGGCAUCACGCUAUUCGAGCGGCCGACGUCUGAUUAGCUAGUAGGUGAGGUAAAGGCUCACCUAGGCGACGAUCAGUAGCGGGUCUGAGAGGAUGAUCCGCCACACUGGGACUGAGACACGGCCCAGACUCCUACGGGAGGCAGCAGUGGGGAAUUUUGGACAGUGGGCGAAAGCCUGAUCCAGCCAUGCCGCGUGUCUGAAGAAGGCCUUCGGGUUGUAAAGGACUUUUGUCAGGGAGGAAAUCCCUAGUGCUAAUAACACUGGGGGAUGACAGUACCUGAAGAAUAAGCACCGGCUACUACGUGCCAGCCGCCGCGGUAA